Molecule: ribosomal RNA, 522 nt
Filed under: Triticum aestivum (bread wheat)
Lineage: Eukaryota; Viridiplantae; Streptophyta; Magnoliopsida; Poales; Poaceae
Description: partial small subunit ribosomal RNA
Source: RNAcentral
AUGGGAGAGACGGGAGGAAGGGAAGGCCAUGAGGGCGCCGGGGGCGAGCAGGGAGGGGAGGAGCGUGCGGUUCAUAGGCCACAGAGGGGCGGGGCCGAGGCAGCGAGGGAGGUGGGGGCUGAGAUGGAGGUGGGUGCAGAGUUGCAGGGGUUGGUAGCCAGGGCCCGACGCCGGGCGGCGCGGGUUCAGAGGCUCGUCGGCGGGCACGGGAUCUGCACGGCCGCGCAUCACCGGGAGGGGCGCUUGUAUGCUCUAGUUCAAAGGAAGGAGGUGGAGGGGUGGGCCGGUGGCUCUGGGAGGAAGCCGGAGCAGGUUGUGGAAGCUCGGUGGCUUGGGCCCCUCGGCAGCGCGUGGAGGGAGGUGGUGCGGCGACGGAGGAAGGAGGUGGUGCGGUGGAGGGAGGGAGGUGCUGCGGUGUGGAAGGGGAAGAAGGUGGGAGGAGAUGGGUUGGUGGGCACGAGGAAUCGUGGGAGUGGGAGCAGUGGGGGUGGGUUGAUUGGCUCGCUGUGUGUCGGGUGUUAG